UGACAACACAACAGUUUAGUCAAGUUACGUUAACGCUACAGUGAACAUCGGUGGGAUUAGCUCCGGUGCUGCCCAUUGUUUUCAAUGGAACAUUGGCGAAACCAAGACACAAUGUUUGCUGUACUGGUGUGAAAGGCCCUCAAGAUCGUACAUCCCCGAUUCACCUAUUGCUGCUUUUCAAGACAAUAAGGCUUGAGAUCUGUCAAGAUUUGUCUCUCUGGGAUCCAAGACCAUGAAAUAAAGUGUCAGCGUCAGAGGUCACAGACUUGAGGUCCGGGCAGAAGUUGAGCAUGACCACGGGGCUGUGGAGGAGGUCUUUGUGAAGACGCUUGCGGAUGAUCUCCACCUGUUGGUCACCAGAGCACAGCAGAGAAACUUCAGGAGACCUGAUUUUGCAAUCCUGCCAGGAAACAAGAGCAUUUCCAAUAAAC
Conger conger (European conger) is the source of this 431-nucleotide long non-coding RNA. RefSeq lists it as uncharacterized. The transcript has 3 exons. Lineage: Eukaryota; Metazoa; Chordata; Actinopteri; Anguilliformes; Congridae. The record is from RefSeq and is a predicted model, not a curated record.